AGAAAGUACCGGUUCUUGUCCGAUCACUGCAGUUAAGUAGCAUCGGACGAGGUCAGUUCUUGGGAGGGUGACCACUUGGGAACACCGUGUGCUGUU
Non-coding RNA from Araneus ventricosus, 96 nucleotides. Lineage: Eukaryota; Metazoa; Arthropoda; Arachnida; Araneae; Araneidae. The record is from the annotation of a GenBank genome assembly.